Castor canadensis (American beaver) is the source of this 161-nucleotide unclassified non-coding RNA. The record is from Ensembl. NCBI's taxonomy places the organism in Eukaryota, Metazoa, Chordata, Mammalia, Rodentia, Castoridae.
ACAAGCUAAGAGAUACAAAGAGAAAAGUGUGACUGCUCUGACAGCAAAAACAAGCAAAUAUCUCCAGAGGGGAUUAAUCCCUCUGCUUCAAAGUAACCAAAACAAAGAAAGCUGAGCCAGCUUGGGAACAACACCUGUCCAUCAGACAAGGAUGAGCUAAU